UACGGGGGGGGCAAGCGUUGUUCGGAAUUACUGGGCGUAAAGGGCUCGUAGGCGGCCAACUAAGUCAGACGUGAAAUCCCUCGGCUUAACCGGGGAACUGCGUCUGAUACUGGUUGGCUUGAGUGUGGGAGAGGGAUGCGGAAUUCCAGGUGUAGCGGUGAAAUGCGUAGAUAUCUGGAGGAACACCGGUGGCGAAGGCGGCAUCCUGGACCAUUACUGACGCUGAGGAGCGAAAGCCAGGGGAGCAACGGG
RNAcentral lists this ribosomal RNA (252 nucleotides) under uncultured bacterium. RNAcentral describes it as "partial 16S ribosomal RNA". It matches the Rfam family "Bacterial small subunit ribosomal RNA", at positions 524 to 775 of the family's 1533-position model. The record is from RNAcentral.